CCGCGGGGCACGGCGGGAGCGCGGCCUCCGUCCCGGUUCCUUCCGGCCCGUUUCCGAGUUGCUGCGGGCGCCGGGGUGCUCCGGGGCUGUGCGGGUCCGCCGCAUUCUUACGGCCUCUCGGCUGCGAGCCGCUAACGGUGCGCAGCGCCCGAAGGACAAAUAAUCUGUUCUUUGCCCUCAAUGUUACUUUCUUAACAAAGAUCGCGCUGGCACGCGCUCUUUUCAGUUCAUUUGCGGAGCAGUCGGAGGUCCCGCAGGAACAUCCACGCUGUUUCUCACACGAUGAGAGGCCAGCCUUCCGUAGAGAUGAGAAAAGCAAACCUCAGGGGACAGGCAGGCCCCGACCGUGCCAGCUGACAGUGGUGACAGGGUCCCCGACACGGCCGAGAUCUCAUCAGGGAAGUAAAAAUCCCUGUGAAUAUGCAGCAGCUACAAGUCUCUCYUUCAACCUCCAAUGGUCUGAGUGUUUGGACACAUUGACAAACCCACACUGGAAAGGACAGAGGAAACUGCUUAUCCGAUGGAUUUUGAAGACUUUCGAGAAUUGUCUGUUGGUCGUGAGCCUGUGCCAGAGACUCUGAACCUGUCAUCACCGGGCAGCCUCUUCCCAGAGCCCUAAAGGUGUUGCUUGCUUGGACAAACAGAAUGUGAAAAAACAUCCUAUGCCGACACGUGUGCCUAGAUUGGAUGUAAACAAAUUCAGAAACGAUGAAGAAUUGUGUUUAACAUAGGCAUUUGCAGUGUCAUUUUGAAAAAGCUCUCGGAAUUAUUUCGGGGUAUUUCCACAUCCAAGUUGUUAUUUCAAAUGUUGUCAGUUAUUCAGUAACUAUAUUAAGUGUCGUUUAAAAAUACAAGCUUACCACCGGCCUAAGCAUGGAAACAUUUUUAAAGGGAACACUUUACAAAUGUAUUUUUCAACACAAGGCCCUUUGUUGAAGAUCAUCCAGAAGCAAUGAUGUCCAKUUGAAUAGGUGUUCCCGCUUUCCUUUCUUUCCCGGUGCUGUGGUACGGGGACAAAGGGAAUUGCAGUCGCUGGUGGGGAAGUGCUCCAUGCCAGCCUCCCCUGCUUCCAAACCUGUUUUCCCUGUUUUCCUGGGGGAUACACAAACACCAGAGCAAAAGCAUUUCUCCCGAAGGAAUGACAUUGCCUGCAGGUAGAAGCUGUUAGACACAACACAAGCCUUUCUAACAUGUUUCUGCCUCGCUUAAAAAGCAAAAAAAAUCUAUUAUUUUGAACUAGAAACCUUUCUAGCCUGUUUAAUCUGCCAAGCUUGGCUUUGGUGGGGUGCAGGCAGUGCAGCCUCACCUGUUGGGUGGCUGCAGUGACCCGUCUCCCACAGCUGCUCAGGCACCGGUGCCUGGGUACACCUUGAGGUGCCAAGGAUGCUGGCCAAAUUGUGGGCAGUCAUUGAGCGCUAGAAGUGCCUCUUUCUCUCCCAAAGCUCAAAUCCUCACAGCCAUUUCCCAAUGCAGUAAUUUCUCAUCUCGGUUUAGUUUCGAACAACGGGGGGCGGUUUAGGUUUGGGUCGGGGUUUUGAGGUCGUUCGGUCGGUAGGUGGGUCGGUUGGUUGGUCUCGGUGGGUCUUUUUUUUUUUUUUUUUUUUUUUUUUUUUUUCUGCUAAGCCCUCAUUAACUCCCCUCACGCUGUCUUACUCUGUUUGCCAGUGCUUAAGUAGUGCUUUUUUAAAAAAGCAACCAAUUAGCACCUCAUCGGCUUCAAUUAGAGGAGACAAAAGCAGUGUAAAGAUAACUCAAUGAGAGGGGGUGGCACAACAUCAUGUAAUCACUUAAGACAGCGUCGAGCAUUCACUGUGCUGGCUCUGCCGGGCCUAUUCACCUUUUUUUUUUUU
Long non-coding RNA from Malurus melanocephalus (red-backed fairy wren), 1850 nucleotides. RefSeq lists it as uncharacterized. NCBI's taxonomy places the organism in Eukaryota, Metazoa, Chordata, Aves, Passeriformes, Maluridae. The record is from RefSeq and is a predicted model, not a curated record. The transcript is spliced from 3 exons.